GUCUACUGCACCAGCUGCCAUCACCUUCUCAACCAGAGCCUUUCUGUUCCUUGGUGACAAACCUCCUGGUCAGAUCUGUCCCACGCCUCAGGGGCAGCCCUCAGAGUUGCAUCAUGAGGUUAUUACUGAUUUCUUCAAAUCUCAUUCAUUUUCCAACAAUUCAAAGCCAUACAGGCACCCUCCCAGUCCCUGUGCCAGUGCUGGUCUCCAGGCUGAGCCCAGGAGGAGACCAUAGCAGGGAAAUUCCAGGAGUGAGGGAAAAACAUUGCAUUAGUGUUGCUAUGGAGACAAAAAUUAGCACAAUAACUAUUGUGUUCUGUUCCAAAGCUUCCCAGUCUUCAGUUUUAACUCCUUCCCCUGCUCUACCACUGUUUCAGAUCUGUCCCAGCAACAUUCCAGGAGACCUGACAAAUUUCUGGGCCAGGAACUGGAAAGGGAAUGGCAGAACACAUAAGAGCCUGAAGUCUGGGCACAGACCAGAAGAGAAGCAGAAAAAGGUUAUUGGCAGUACCUGGUGUUGCUAAGGCUGAUUUAAUUCCUAUUCCCAGAGGCAGCUUUUCCAAGGUGAUUCCUGACACAGGAGAUGGUGAGUUGCUUUUCACCCUCACACACAGAGACUUUAUACAUGUGGUUGUGAUGUACCUGCUUUAGUGAUCAAAUCAACUUGGUUGGAUCUUCCAUAGGGAUUCUGCAAAGCAGGUUGAAUACAGGGUUUUGCUGACCUCUGCCAGAAUGACCUUUCCUUAAAGUAGUAGAGGAGAGAAAAGUCUGCACUGCAAAAAGCCUCACGUGGGAGCAGGGAAAUGCAGCCAAGGGAGGGUUGACCUGUGGGGUUAUUGAAGGCUUAAUGGGGCAAUCUGAGCACACUUAGUGCAGUGGAAAGCUGCAGACCAGCCAGGAAAAGAUGUCAAAGAGGACAAUCAGUUGAGAAAAGGAGAGCAGUGGCUGACAGAAGGAUGUCUGAAUAAAUGAAGGAUGUCCAGCCCAGUGUGAGAAAUUCAGGCACUGCAGGAGCAGCUUAAUCUGCAGUCCUAGAUCUGAGCGACCUUCUCCACAGCCUUGGACAUUUAAACACUCAACAUCUACUUUAACUGAGGGGAAAAAAACAAUGGUGCCAAUAUAAUGCUUCAUUGCACAGAUAUAUUUUAAAGACUUAACCUUUGCAAGACAUUUUGAAGAUGGAAAGCCCAGCAGCACAAUGAUAUUUUUGUGAGAAGACUUUUCUCAGUUUUUGCAUUAGCCACUGUAUGCUUGGUUUUAUUUCUGGUUUUGCCUUGUGCAGUUUUACCAAGUGACUUUUUCCAUAGCCUACAUGUAGAUUUUUAAUAGCAAAGAUGAAAUCUCAAAAUCCUUGUUUUGAGUAGUCAUUCAAAUUCAACAGCUUAACAUUGAUAACAUUUCAGAAAAGACAAUUGGUUUGAAUACAAAAAUGUUUAAAAAU
This 1441-nucleotide long non-coding RNA is filed under the name Ficedula albicollis (Collared flycatcher). RNAcentral's name for it is "lncRNA (ENSFALG00000026968.1)". The record is from RNAcentral. Lineage: Eukaryota; Metazoa; Chordata; Aves; Passeriformes; Muscicapidae.